RNAcentral lists this ribosomal RNA (239 nucleotides) under uncultured bacterium. Its description in RNAcentral is "partial 16S ribosomal RNA". It matches the Rfam family "Bacterial small subunit ribosomal RNA", at positions 118 to 351 of the family's 1533-position model. The record is from RNAcentral.
UGGGUAACCCACCCCGAUGACCGGGACAACCCGAGGAAACUCGGGCUAAUACCGGAUGAGUUCGUCUCCCUUGAGGGAGACGAGGAAAGAUAGCUUCGGCCUUCGCAUCGGGACGGGCCCGCGGCGCAUUAGCUUGUUGGUGGGGUAACGGCCUACCAAGGCGACGAUGCGUAGCUGGUCUGAGAGGACGAUCAGCCACACUGGGACUGAGACACGGCCCAGACUCCUACGGGAGGCAG